RNAcentral lists this ribosomal RNA (440 nucleotides) under uncultured bacterium. RNAcentral's name for it is "partial 16S ribosomal RNA". It matches the Rfam family "Bacterial small subunit ribosomal RNA", at positions 338 to 795 of the family's 1533-position model. The record is from RNAcentral.
CCUACGGGGGACAGCAGUGGGGAAUAUUGCACAAUGGGGGAAACCCUGAUGCAGCGACGCCGCGUGAAGGAAGAAGUAUUUCGGUAUGUAAACUUCUAUCAGCAGGGAAGAAAAUGACGGUACCUGACUAAGAAGCCCCGGCUAACUACGUGCCAGCAGCCGCGGUAAUACGUAGGGGGCAAGCGUUAUCCGGAUUUACUGGGUGUAAAGGGAGCGUAGGCGGUUUAGCAAGUCAGAAGUGAAAGCCCGGGGCUCAACUCCGGGACUGCUUUUGAAACUGUUGAACUAGAGUGCAGGAGAGGCAGAUGGAAUUCCUAGUGUAGCGGUGAAAUGCGUAGAUAUUAGGAGGAACACCAGUGGCGAAGGCGGUCUGCUGGACAGCAACUGACGGUGAGGCGCGAAAGCGUGGGGAGCGAACAGGAUUAGAUACCCUGGUAGUC